Molecule: ribosomal RNA, 877 nt
Filed under: Bacillus subtilis
Lineage: Bacteria; Bacillati; Bacillota; Bacilli; Caryophanales; Bacillaceae
Description: bacterial SSU rRNA
Rfam family: Bacterial small subunit ribosomal RNA
Source: RNAcentral
AAUACUAGAGUUUGAUCCGGGCUCAGGACGAACGCUGGCGGCGUGCCUAAUACAUGCAAGUCGAGCGGACAGAUGGGAGCUUGCUCCCUGAUGUUAGCGGCGGACGGGUGAGUAACACGUGGGUAACCUGCCUGUAAGACUGGGAUAACUCCGGGAAACCGGGGUAACUAAUACCGGAUGGUUGUUUGAACCGCAUGGUUCAAACAUAAAAGGUGGCUUCGGCUACCACUUACAGAUGGACCCGCGGCGCAUUAGCUAGUUGGUGAGGUAACGGCUCACCAAGCCGGCAACGAUGCGUAGCCGACCUGAGAGGGUGAUCGGCCACACUGGGACUGAGACACGGCCCAGACUCCUACGGGAGGCAGCAGUAGGGAAUCUUCCGCAUAAAUGGACGAAAGUCUGACGGAGCAACGCCGCGUGAGUGAUGAAGGUUUUCGGAUCGUAAAGCUCUGUUGUUAGGGAAGAACAAGUACCGUUCGAAUAGGGCGGUACCUUGACGGUACCUAACCAGAAAGCCACGGCUCCGAACUACGUGCCAGCAGCCGCGGUAAUACGUAGGUGGCAAGCGUUGUCCGGAAUUAUUGGGCGUAAAGGGCUCGCAGGCGGUUUCUUAAGUCUGAUGUGAAAGCCCCCGGCUCAACCGGGGAGGGUCAUUGGAAACUGGGGAACUUGAGUGCAGAAGAGGAGAGUGGAAUUCCACGUGUAGCGGUGAAAUGCGUAGAGAUGUGGAGGAACACCAGUGGCGAAGGCGACUCUCUGGUCUGUAACUGACGCUGAGGAAGCGAAAGCGUGGGGAGCGAACAGGAUUUAGAUACCCCUGGUAGUCCACGCCGUAAACGAUGAGUGCUAAGUGUUAAGGGGUUUCCGCAUUCCCGCA